This 1000-nucleotide ribosomal RNA is filed under the name uncultured organism. RNAcentral describes it as "bacterial SSU rRNA". It matches the Rfam family "Bacterial small subunit ribosomal RNA", at positions 356 to 1376 of the family's 1533-position model. The record is from RNAcentral.
GGGGGAUAUUGCGCAAUGGGGGCAACCCUGACGCAGCAACGCCGCGUGAAGGAUGAAGGUUUUCGGAUUGUAAACUUCUUUUAUUAAGGACGAAACUUGACGGUACUUAAUGAAUAAGCUCCGGCUAACUACGUGCCAGCAGCCGCGGUAAUACGUAGGGAGCAAGCGUUGUCCGGAUUUACUGGGUGUAAAGGGUGCGUAGGCGGCUUUGCAAGUCAGAUGUGAAAUCUAUGGGCUCAACCCAUAAACUGCAUUUGAAACUGUAGAGCUUGAGUGAAGUAGAGGCAGGCGGAAUUCCCCGUGUAGCGGUGAAAUGCGUAGAGAUGGGGAGGAACACCAGUGGCGAAGGCGGCCUGCUGGGCUUUAACUGACGCUAAGGCACGAAAGCGUGGGUAGCAAACAGGAUUAGAUACCCUGGUAGUCCACGCUGUAAACGAUGAUUACUAGGUGUGGGGGGUCUGACCCCUUCCGUGCCGGAGUUAACACAAUAAGUAAUCCACCUGGGGAGUACGGCCGCAAGGUUGAAACUCAAAGGAAUUGACGGGGGCCCGCACAAGCAGUGGAGUAUGUGGUUUAAUUCGAAGCAACGCGAAGAACCUUACCAGGUCUUGACAUCCAACUAACGAAGUAGAGAUACAUUAGGUGCCCUUCGGGGAAAGUUGAGACAGGUGGUGCAUGGUUGUCGUCAGCUCGUGUCGUGAGAUGUUGGGUUAAGUCCCGCAACGAGCGCAACCCUUGCUAUUAGUUGCUACGCAAGAGCACUCUAAUAGGACUGCCGUUGACAAAACGGAGGAAGGUGGGGACGACGUCAAAUCAUCAUGCCCCUUAUGACCUGGGCUACACACGUACUACAAUGGAUGUUAACAGAGGGAAGCAAGACAGCGAUGUGGAGCAAACCCCUAAAAACAUUCUCAGUUCAGAUUGCAGGCUGCAACCCGCCUGCAUGAAGAUGGAAUUGCUAGUAAUCGCGGAUCAGCAUGCCGCGGUGAAUACGUUCCCG